This 253-nucleotide ribosomal RNA is filed under the name uncultured bacterium. RNAcentral describes it as "partial 16S ribosomal RNA". It matches the Rfam family "Bacterial small subunit ribosomal RNA", at positions 524 to 776 of the family's 1533-position model. The record is from RNAcentral.
GACGAACCGAGCGAACGUUGUUCGGAAUCACUGGGCUUAAAGGGCGCGUAGGCGGGUGCUCAAGUCUGUGGUGAAAUCCUCCGGCUCAACCGGAGAACUGCCAUGGAUACUGGGUGCCUCGAGGGUGAUAGGGGUAUGCGGAACUAUCGGUGGAGCGGUGAAAUGCGUUGAUAUCGAUAGGAACUCCGGUGGCGAAGGCGGCAUACUGGAUCACUUCUGACGCUGAGGCGCGAAAGCCAGGGGAGCGAACGGG